UACGUAGGGUGCGAGCGUUAAUCGGAAUUACUGGGCGUAAAGCGUGCGCAGGCGGUUCGUUGUGUCCGUCGUGAAAGCCCCGGGCUUAACCUGGGAACUGCGAUGGAAACUAGCGAGCUGGAGUGUGGCAGAGGGGGGUGGAAUUCCGCGUGUAGCAGUGAAAUGCGUAGAGAUGCGGAGGAACACCGAUGGCGAAGGCAGCCCCCCUGGGCUAACACUGACGCUCAGGCACGAAAGCGUGGGGAGCAAACAGG
RNAcentral lists this ribosomal RNA (254 nucleotides) under uncultured bacterium. RNAcentral's name for it is "partial 16S ribosomal RNA". It matches the Rfam family "Bacterial small subunit ribosomal RNA", at positions 524 to 776 of the family's 1533-position model. The record is from RNAcentral.